Non-coding RNA from Aegilops tauschii subsp. strangulata, 730 nucleotides. The record is from RefSeq and is a predicted model, not a curated record. Lineage: Eukaryota; Viridiplantae; Streptophyta; Magnoliopsida; Poales; Poaceae.
GCGGGGGUAGAGACGCAGGGUGAGGAGCACCCGUCGGAGGCGCUUGAUGCGGCUCCCCCGUCACUCCUCCUUCUAUGCCCACUGCUGGUGCUCCCCCGUCGCUCCUCCUCCUCCAUCGUGAUGCGCUGCACUUGGCCGCAGUUCUACUCCAGGGUUAGGAUUUUCUAUUGGAUUGGUGACUGCUGUGAGCUGGUAAUAUGUCAUGCUCGGCCAUCCCGUUGCAGGUUGCCACCAAUGGGAAUACAGCCAGUGGACUGGUUUUGCUUGUCAGCGACCAAAACAAGAACAAGUCAAUUCUUAUAUGUACGUAUUCAAUUUGUGGAUGAUUGGAGGCUCUGUGUUCAUAGUUUAUAUGGGUCAUCUUUAUAUCUGGGCCAUGGUGGUUGUGAUUCAAAUAUUUUAUGGAAACAGAGCUUUUUAACCUACUUAGAAGAUUGAGCGAAGAGAGACAGCUGCAAGGGUUCAGGUUGCCGAAUUGGUAGCUUAUAGGCAUUCUGAUUAUACUAUUAUUUGAACCAGUAAAUCGUCAAUGAAUUAGCUAUCACCAAUUUAAUAUAUUUCAAAUGUACAUAUAUUCUUGUGGGAACAAGUUUUAUCACACUUCUUCACGGCAUUCUUAAUCAGGAGCUUGAUAACAGAAUAACUUCAGAUUACUUGAUGUAUAAGGUCGUCAGCAGCAUAAUAAAGUAUCCGAAGUUUAAUCGCUAUUUUCCUUUAUAAAUUGCAGGUA